CAGUCACAGACAGACAUGACAUUACACGUCGUAACUUUCAUGUUAGAUGUUACCGAUGUUACUUAAAAAGUUUAACAGCGGAGAUCGGAUAACAAGUCAACUGUUUUUAAAAUAAUUUCAGCUGAAGUUUUCAUGUACCUGGCCAACUAGGUGCUCGUGACAAUAGUUAAAUGAAAUGGUCUAAUCCAAUAAUACAAGCUCACAACCUUAUGUCUUCUGAAGCAAAAUAAUUUCUGUUGCAAGUUGUAAAUUUUCAAGAUAUUGAUGCCUUCGCCAGAUCCCAUUCUUUGUUGCUAUCAGUUUUGCAGACAACAGCAAGAAAAUGCUGCUACUCAACAUUUUAUGGUGACCAACACUCUGUUCUAAUUUAGGACAAUGUAAGGUUGAUAAAUUUGAGGGUAAGCCCUCUUUGUUACUGUUAUAGUUGUUUGGAAACCGACAAGAGAUUGCUGGAAUUGAAGAUUGAUAAUUUAUGUAGAAUCAGAUAUAUUAAAAGUGUUCCUGG
This is a long non-coding RNA of Daphnia pulex (common water flea), 505 nucleotides long. RefSeq lists it as uncharacterized. Lineage: Eukaryota; Metazoa; Arthropoda; Branchiopoda; Diplostraca; Daphniidae. The record is from RefSeq and is a predicted model, not a curated record. The transcript has 4 exons.